RNAcentral lists this ribosomal RNA (30 nucleotides) under Rhizopus arrhizus. Its description in RNAcentral is "Rhizopus oryzae partial 18S small subunit ribosomal RNA". Lineage: Eukaryota; Fungi; Mucoromycota; Mucoromycetes; Mucorales; Rhizopodaceae. The record is from RNAcentral.
CGUAGGUGAAAACCUGCGGAAGGAUCAUUA